UACGUAGGUGGCAAGCGUUGUCCGGAUUUACUGGGCGUAAAGAGCGCGCAGGCGGUCGGUCAAGUCGGGUGUGAAAGCUCCCGGCUCAACUGGGGAGGGUCACGCGAUACUGAUCGACUCGAAGGCAGGAGAGGGUAGUGGAAUUCCCGGUGUAGUGGUGAAAUGCGUAGAGAUCGGGAGGAACAUCUGUGGCGAAGGCGACUGCCUGGACCAGCACUGACACUGAGGCACGAAAGCGUGGGGAGCAAACAGG
This 253-nucleotide ribosomal RNA is filed under the name uncultured bacterium. Its description in RNAcentral is "partial 16S ribosomal RNA". It matches the Rfam family "Bacterial small subunit ribosomal RNA", at positions 524 to 776 of the family's 1533-position model. The record is from RNAcentral.